This 746-nucleotide ribosomal RNA is filed under the name Frondihabitans sp. RNAcentral describes it as "bacterial SSU rRNA". It matches the Rfam family "Bacterial small subunit ribosomal RNA", at positions 616 to 1361 of the family's 1533-position model. The record is from RNAcentral. Lineage: Bacteria; Bacillati; Actinomycetota; Actinomycetes; Micrococcales; Microbacteriaceae.
CCAGCCUGCAGUGGGUACGGGCAGACUAGAGUUCGGUAGGGGAGAUUGGAAUUCCUGGUGUAGCGGUGGAAUGCGCAGAUAUCAGGAGGAACACCGAUGGCGAAGGCAGAUCUCUGGGCCGUAACUGACGCUGAGGAGCGAAAGCAUGGGGAGCGAACAGGAUUAGAUACCCUGGUAGUCCAUGCCGUAAACGUUGGGAACUAGAUGUAGGGGCCAUUCCACGGUUUCUGUGUCGCAGCUAACGCAUUAAGUUCCCCGCCUGGGGAGUACGGCCGCAAGGCUAAAACUCAAAGGAAUUGACGGGGGCCCGCACAAGCGGCGGAGCAUGCGGAUUAAUUCGAUGCAACGCGAAGAACCUUACCAAGGCUUGACAUAUACCGGAAACGUCCAGAGAUGGUCGCCCCGCAAGGUCGGUAUACAGGUGGUGCAUGGUUGUCGUCAGCUCGUGUCGUGAGAUGUUGGGUUAAGUCCCGCAACGAGCGCAACCCUCGUUCUAUGUUGCCAGCACGUGAUGGUGGGAACUCAUAGGAGACUGCCGGGGUCAACUCGGAGGAAGGUGGGGAUGACGUCAAAUCAUCAUGCCCCUUAUGUCUUGGGCUUCACGCAUGCUACAAUGGCCGAUACAAAGGGCUGCAAUACCGUAAGGUGGAGCGAAUCCCAAAAAGUCGGUCUCAGUUCGGAUUGAGGUCCGCAACUCGACCUCAUGAAGUCGGAGUCGCUAGUAAUCGCAGAUCAGCAACGCAGCG